Molecule: small RNA, 282 nt
Filed under: Gorilla gorilla gorilla (western lowland gorilla)
Lineage: Eukaryota; Metazoa; Chordata; Mammalia; Primates; Hominidae
Description: Metazoan signal recognition particle RNA (ENSGGOG00000037475.1)
Source: RNAcentral
GCUGGGCGUGGUGGCUCACGCCUGUAAUCCUAGCACUUUGGGAGGCUGAGGCAGGCAGAUCACUUGAGGUCAGGAGUUCGAGACUAGCCUGGCCAACAUGGUGAAACCCCAUGUCUACUAAAAAUACAAAAAUUAGCUGGGCGUGCUGGCACAAGCCUGUAGUCCCAGCUACCCAAGAGGCUGAGGCUGGAGGAUCACCUGAACCUGGGAGGCGGAGGUUGCAGUGAGCUGAGGUCACGCCAUUGCACUCCAGCCUGGGCGACAGAGUGAGAUUCUGUCUCA